AUGCCCACACUCCUAAAAGUGUUCCAUUCAACAGGUUCUCAAGUCACAUCCAUCAUUGGCACCAGGAUUGAGCAGUGUGCCAUACCCCAAAUUUGUCUGCCAUUUAUUCCUACAGUCAAAAAUAUUUUAAAUUUUAUUUUUAUAAUAUUAUUUGAUUUUUAUAGAUAUUCAUUCUCAAGUCCAGUUAAAAAUAUAAUAAUUUAUUUCAAAUUAUUUUUGUUUUUAAAAUAA
This is a non-coding RNA of Vicia faba (fava bean), 231 nucleotides long. Lineage: Eukaryota; Viridiplantae; Streptophyta; Magnoliopsida; Fabales; Fabaceae. The record is from the annotation of a GenBank genome assembly.